AGCAGCCGCGGUAAUUCCAGCUCCAAUAGCGUAUAUUUAAGUUGUUGCAGUUAAAAAGCCGUAGUUGGACCUUGGGUUGGGUCGAUCGGUCCGCCUCUGGUGUGCACCGGUCGGCUCGCCCUUCUGCCGGCGAUGCGCUCCUGGUCUUAAUUGGCCGGGGAAACCAGGACUUUUACUUGAAAAAAUUAGAGUGUUCAAAGCAGGCAUUUGCUCGAAUACAUUAGCAUGGAAUAAU
Molecule: ribosomal RNA, 235 nt
Filed under: uncultured Glomeromycotina
Lineage: Eukaryota; Fungi; Glomeromycota
Description: partial small subunit ribosomal RNA
Rfam family: Eukaryotic small subunit ribosomal RNA
Source: RNAcentral